CCUACGGGAGGCAGCAGUGGGGAAUCUUGCGCAAUGGCCGAGAGGCUGACGCAGCGACGCCGCGUGGGGGAUGAAGCAUUUCGGUGUGUAAACCCCUGUUGCUCGGGACGAACGAUCCUUUUCGAGGGAUGUGACGGUACCGAGUGAGGAAGCACCGGCUAACUCCGUGCCAGCAGCCGCGGUAAUACGGAGGGUGCGAGCGUUGUCCGGAAUCACUGGGCGUAAAGGGCGCGUAGGUGGUUGGAUGCGCCGGUGGUGAAAGCGCAGGGCUCAACCCUGCGUCGGCCAUCGGGACGGUCCGACUGGAGCACUGUAGAGGCAGGUGGAAUUCCGGGUGUAGCGGUGGAAUGCGUAGAGAUCCGGAAGAACACCGGUGGCGAAGGCGGCCUGCUGGGCAGUUGCUGACACUGAGGCGCGACAGCGUGGGGAGCAAACAGGAUUAGAUACCCUGGUAGUCCCACGACCGUAAACGAGUGGCGACGUAGGUGUCGUUGGGGGUAGGACCGGACCCCGUCGAGGUGGCCGGACCGGCCGUAACCGACCGACGUUAAGUUACGGCCCCGCCCGUCGGGGACGGUACCGGACCCGGACCGAACGGUUAGGUAAACGUUAAACGUUAGUAGUUAGUACGGCGUGAGACGUCGACCGAACGGACGACCGACCGAGGGGAGGUUAGGG
RNAcentral lists this ribosomal RNA (678 nucleotides) under uncultured bacterium. RNAcentral describes it as "bacterial SSU rRNA". The stretch from base 1 to 481 matches the Rfam family "Bacterial small subunit ribosomal RNA", at positions 338 to 873 of the family's 1533-position model. The record is from RNAcentral.